AUGAAACAAUGCUAUUCGGGUGUAAAAUUAUGUGUUCUAACACUUUUCUUCUUAGGAAUUUUGUCUGAAAUGGACUCUAAACGAGAUAUUCGUGAAAAACCGAGCGCGAGGAUGAAUUCUCCAUUGCCUCUCUGCAGUCUCUUCGAGUGCUUGGGACACUUGCUCUCCCCUUCCCGCCCGCCCAUCAUGGAGCUCCGAGAGACUAGCUUCGCUCCGCCUGUACUAAACCGGGUCGGACGCACAGUCUACGUGAUUCAAUGUCUUUGCCUGUUAUACUAUAUUAUAAGGGGGGUUUUUUUUAUGCGGAUCGCAGUGGAACGCGGUGAACAUCGGUAUUUUUUAUUCCGUUCCUCAGCCGCGAUCCAAGCUGAUCCAAGCGUUCCAAGUGGAUCAGGGUGGAACGCUGGAUCGCUCUUCCGAGGUGGGGGGCCCGAGGGGGGCGGCGUCGGCGGAGCGGAUGCGGACCUCCACGUCGGUGGCGUACUGGAACUGGGACCAGGCCAUGUUGACGUCGGCGCCCGGCUCCAGGGUGACGCCGUCGCCGGAGGAGAUCUCGAACUCCCGCCGCGGGUUCGCCGGGUCGUACAUCCGCCCGUUCCCGUUGCGCGGGAUCGACUCGUAGACGAAGGAGUCGCGCCAGACCCCGAAGCCCACCGGACGCACCGCCACCUUGUACCUAUUCACAGAUUUCACAUUCAGGGACCAUACAUUUUAAGGCUCUUCUCCGUUAACAAACUAGGAGCUUGCAAGAGGUUCAUCGAUGCCGAAUCCUAGAGUCCCUUUAUACACAGAGUUACGACAACUCGAUUAUCAGCUGACCGGCAGGCGGCCUUGGCUGGCCAUGGAGGCACAAACUAGUGCACUCAAACGAACGAUAUUGAGGGAUAAGGAUAAGGAAUCCUCCGAUGUCUGUCAUCCAAAGACAACAACAUCAACAAAACUGAUCAAAACUUUAAAAUUAGAUUGAUUGGUGGAUAAUUUCUUAAUCUAUUUUCAUUUUGGUGCGAUUGAAAUAACAAUUCACUCUUGAUGAACCACAAUUUAGUUACAUUUUCAUUACUUUUCUUCACAUUCGAGGUACCGCCAUCUUGGUGCACUAGUUUGUGACACCAAGAGCGAGAACCAAUCAGAAUUGGAUUUUUCUUUAGGCCACUAUCAGCCCAACCAAAAGUGAGUUGUCGUAACUCUGUGUACGAAGGGACUCUACCGAAUCCGGCAAUCUAAUGGAGAUGUUGCAUGUGUGAGGAAUAUGUGAUUUGACUAUUGAUUCUUAUGUAAAAGUUCGAGAGAGACACGAUGGUGCCACGGGUUUUCUCUGAAAUCAACUCCCAAGCUCAAAAAAAGCCCUCAAGUUGAGGCCAAAAUGGCCGGGGAUAUCCCACGCUAUCCUGAGCGUCCAUCUCUACAUCAAGGCGAACUCUCCAUGCAAAGAUAGGGAGCAAAUACAUUAGCAGGGUUGCUGUGUUUUCAGUUUUGGAGUCCCUAAAUAAGGUGGCAGCCCUGUCAAUGUAUCUGCUCCCUAUCUUUGCAUGGAGAAUUUGUCUUGAUCUAGAGGUGGACUCUCAGGAUAGCCUGGGAUAUCCCCUCCAUUUUGGCCUUAACUUGAGAGCUUUUUUUGAGCUUGGGAGUUGAAUUUAGAGAAAACUAGUGGCACCAUCGUGUUUCUCGCGAACAUUUACAUAAGAAUCAAUAGUCAAAUCGCAAAUUUCUCACACAUGCAACAUCUCCAUUAGCCAGCGGUGCAAGUUGGGGUAAUCGAUGAGCCUCUUUGAGCCUCUUUGAAGUUUGUGCCUGCGGGCUGAUUGUUGAAAUUGAUAGACAGAGCGAUAGACAAAGAUCGGUGCCUUUUCCGCACUUCUAAUUGGACGUAUGUCUAUCAAACAGACCUAUGUGGAGGUGAAAAAUAUGGGGUCUGCUCGCUAGUUCUCUGGCCGUAAGAGUGAAUGAGAAUAAUAAAGCGCCAGUGACGUCAGCGGCAAUGACGAAGCCCGGGGAGAGGGAGAUGUCGCCGUCGCCGUUUAACUCAUGAGCCCUGUCCACAACGCUCUCUUGCCAUGCCCGCGGCUCAUGAAUCCCGCAUUCAGUUGGCACAUAGGUCUCUUUGAUAGAAUGUAAUAUCCCGCUUUUCCAAUUCUUCAAAAGGAAUCACGCCCACUUUUACAUUGCUUCUUAUGCAGAUUUCUAGAGCACACCCCAUAUUUCUCACCUCCACAUAGGUCUGUUUGGUAGAACUACGUCCAAUUGACCCGAGGUGCGAGUCACAGUAAUCGACGAGGAAAUUAUUUUUUUUUCUUCGUUCUUUUUUCUUUUCACGAAUUCCUCAUUUAAAUUGACGCUAUUACUGCAAUCAACCUAUCUACAUUACGAGAUGCCAAACUGCUUCUCAAAACUGUUUCUCUCCCUUUUUUUACCAUAGAACUAAACAAUACAAUGCCUGAAAAUGUCGCAGGAACUUCCUCUGGAUUACGAAGAAUGUACAUAAAAAAUUUCGAGUACGAUUAUUGCUCAGUUUUCUAGGGAAAAAUUAACUAUGAGAGGAAAUCAUGCGACAUCUGAUGUGGCUAGGAUGAUUUCGGUUGAAUAAGCGGUUCAUUCGAUUGUUUGCUCGUCUAGAAGAAAAAUAAAAGUUUUAACAUUAAGAGUAUACUGAGCAAUAGUGACGAUGAAGAUGGUUGAGAUGCCAACGUCUGCGAACGGACAUUUGAAACUCGUUAAAUUUUAAAAAGUGGAAUUUCAGAAAAAGAAGUACACGCUACGUCAUAGCCGUCGUUCCUUGUAUCUGAAAAGCAGAAAUGCUCAUUACUAAGGAGAAAAAAACUCACGAACGACAGAUUUUCGAAUCUCAAGUAACGUUGUUUAAGAUUCAAACGAAUCAGUCACGUCGAAAGGAUGAACGAGAGCAGAAUGCCGAAGAGUUUACUAAAAAGUACAGUUCCAGUGCGAAGAAGUCUAGAGGAAGGAAAGAACCACGACUAACCAUGGCCCUAAGUCUUUUCGUUGGCAGAUUCCAGCAAGUUGGAAACACUGUUUAAACUCCAUUUGAAGUCAUCGAAUAUAUCGAUACUAAGUGAGACGAGCUGCCACAUCUGCGGGCUGAUUAUUGAGACUGAUGGACAAAGCGAUAGACAAAGAAGACAUAGGGAGUACGGAGCGAUCUUAUUGGUUGAUAUGGUUGGUUCUUAUAGACUAAGGAAGAAAAUGAUGGACUAACUGUCGGGUCUUUAGUGGGUUCCCGUUAACUAGUCCAUUACAUACCUCCUAUGUCCAUUGCCACCACCUGCUUCCACCAAUAGGACCCCUCCAAAUCCCUUUUGUCGUCUUUUGUCUAUAGCUUUGUCCAUCAGUUUCAAUAAUCGGCCCGCAGGUGGUGGCAAUGGACAUAGGAGGUAUGUAAUCAACUAACUAACGGCAACCCACUAAAGACCCGACAGUUAGUCCAUCAUUUUCAUCCUUAGUCUAUAAGAACCAACCAUGUCAACCAAUAAGAUCGCUCCGUACUCCCUAUGUCUUCUUUGUCUAUCGCUUUGUCCAUCAGUUUCAAUAAUCGGCCCGCAGGUGGUGGCAAUGGACAGGUAUGUAAUCAACUAACUAACGGCAACCCACUAAAGACCCGACAGUUAGUCCAUCAUUUUCAUCCUUAGUCUAUAAGAACCAACCAUGUCAACCAAUAAGAUCGCUCCGUACUCCCUAUGUCUUCUUUGUCUAUCGCUUUGUCCAUCAGUUUCAAUAAUCGGCCCGCAGGUGGUGGCAAUGGACAGGUAUGUAAUCAACUAACUAACGGCAACCCACUAAAGACCCGACAGUUAGUCCAUCAUUUUCAUCCUUAGUCUAUAAGAACCAACCAUGUCAACCAAUAAGAUCGCUCCGUACUCCCUAUGUCUUCUUUGUCUAUCGCUUUGUCCAUCAGUUUCAAUAAUCGGCCCGCAGGUGGUGGCAAUGGACAGGUAUGUAAUCAACUAACUAACGGCAACCCACUAAAGACCCGACAGUUAGUCCAUCAUUUUCUUCCUUAGUCUAUAAGAACCAACCAUGUCAACCAAUAAGAUCGCUCCGUACUCCCUAUGUCUUCUUUGUCUAUCGCUUUGUCCAUCAGUUUCAAUAAUCGGCCUGCAGCUUCCACCAAUGGGAUCCCUCCAAAUCCCUUUUGUCGUCUUUGUCUAUAGCUUUAUCUAUACAUUUCAAUAAUCGGCCCGCAGGAAUCGAUUGUUUUACAUACGUUUAAAUGGGAGAAAAGCAGUGUUGCCAACUUUCAAGAAUAGCCACUGGCUACAAGGGCUGUAGUGUCAGGUGAGAAGAAGAAAGAGGAAGAGAUGCGGAGGAGGAGGAGGAGAGGAGGAGGAGGAUGAGGAGGAGGAGGAGGAAGAGGAU
Molecule: long non-coding RNA, 4368 nt
Filed under: Bemisia tabaci
Lineage: Eukaryota; Metazoa; Arthropoda; Insecta; Hemiptera; Aleyrodidae
Description: lncRNA ENSSSA1UGG010230
Source: RNAcentral